RNAcentral lists this non-coding RNA (24 nucleotides) under Mus musculus (house mouse). The record is from RNAcentral. Lineage: Eukaryota; Metazoa; Chordata; Mammalia; Rodentia; Muridae.
UGGAAUUUGGUCUUUUCCGGCCCA